AGUCAACAAAAAACGAUGUACGUGUUGUUUGAGUUUGUCGUCAAAAGCAGUUAAGCAUCUGAAUUAAGAAACUACAACCAUGCUUUGAGAGUGUAUAAUGAAAGAUGUUUGCAAGCAGAAUACAGGAAAUGGAUAGGCAUUAUGACCAAGUUGUGCUAAGCUUUAAGUGCUACCCAUUCAAGUUUACUUCUUCUAAAUACAACACAAUCAUUGAAGCACUUAUGACUGUUUGCCUGUUUCCUUGGAAAUUUAUUUAAUGUUGAGAUGGUAAAUGUAGCCAUUUGUGUGAUAUUGUGCCAAGAGUUUUGGCAUGGACAAACAAAAUAGUUGGCAAGGGCAGCAGAAAAGUCCAAAUUUAAACACCUGUAAUGAAAAAACUGAAAGCAUUUGUUGCAUCCAAGCCAAUCUUCACCAUCAUUGUCUUUGCAUAUUUUGCAAACACCAGUAUUUCCUCUACAGCAAAACAAACAAAGGAAUUUAAAAUGAAUUUAAGUUUCUCAUGCACUAUAUAAUGCAUUAAAGACUGGUUAAAACAUACUCAUGAUUGUCAUAAUAGCAAGAGCUGAAUAUGGGUGAUAUUAAUUUCUCUUUCUCUAAUUCCAUUUUAAAAUUUCUGUUUAAUCUUGAAUUUUCACAAAUACACCUUGGAAACUGUGGAAAAGAAAUUGUUCAAAUUGUAGAAUACCAAGACAAUAACAGAAACAAUUCCAGUUCGAGACUGACUUUAUUAACGUUAGUAGCAAUAUUUAUUAUGUAAGACAUUAGGCGUUAACUAUGACUAAAGGAAGCAUUUUAUAUAAAAUAUGUAUAUAUAAUAUGUAAUAUGUAUAUGUACAACGUAAUGGAAGGGUGUAUUGGACAGGAAGAUUAUUUAAAGCGUAUGUUAUUUUUGACA
Molecule: long non-coding RNA, 895 nt
Organism: Xenia sp. Carnegie-2017
Lineage: Eukaryota; Metazoa; Cnidaria; Anthozoa; Malacalcyonacea; Xeniidae
Exons: 2
Source: RefSeq, a predicted model, not a curated record